UACGUAGGGUGCGAGCGUUGUCCGGAAUUACUGGGCGUAAAGGGCGCGUAGGCGGCCCGUUAAGUCGAACGUGAAAUCCCUGGGCUCAACCCGGGAACUGCGUCCGAUACUGGCAGGCUUGAAUCCGGGAGAGGGAUGCGGAAUUCCAGGUGUAGCGGUGAAAUGCGUAGAUAUCUGGAGGAACACCGGUGGCGAAGGCGGCAUCCUGGACCGGCAUUGACGCUGAUGAGCGAAAGCUAGGGGAGCAAACGGG
This 253-nucleotide ribosomal RNA is filed under the name uncultured bacterium. RNAcentral's name for it is "partial 16S ribosomal RNA". It matches the Rfam family "Bacterial small subunit ribosomal RNA", at positions 524 to 776 of the family's 1533-position model. The record is from RNAcentral.